Molecule: ribosomal RNA, 396 nt
Filed under: uncultured bacterium
Lineage: Bacteria
Description: partial 16S ribosomal RNA
Rfam family: Bacterial small subunit ribosomal RNA
Source: RNAcentral
AUACGUAGGGAGCGAGCGUUGUCCGGAAUUACUGGGUGUAAAGGGUGCGUAGGCGGGACUGCAAGUCAGAUGUGAAAUGCCGGGGCUCCACCCCGGAGCUGCAUUUGAAACUGUGGUUCUUGAGUGAGGUAGAGGUAAGCGGAAUUCCUAGUGUAGCGGUGAAAUGCGUAGAUAUUAGGAGGAACAUCGGUGGCGAAGGCGGCUUACUGGGCCUUUACUGACGCUGAGGCACGAAAGCGUGGGGAGCAAACAGGAUUAGAUACCCUGGUAGUCCACGCUGUAAACGAUGAUGACUAGGUGUGGGGGGACUGAACCCUUCCGUGCCGCAGUUAACACAAUAAGUCAUCCACCUGGGGAGUACGGCCGCAAGGUUGAAACUUAAAGGAAUUGACGGGG